GAUGAACGCUGGCGGCGUGCCUAACACAUGCAAGUCGAACGGAGUCCAGCCUUUAAGACCUUCGGGUCAAAGUGGGGAAGACUGAGUGGCGGACGGGUGAGUAACACGUGGGCAACCUGGCUCCUAGAGGGGGAUAACAGAGAGAAAUUUCUGCUAUUACCGCAUAAGCACACACUGCCGCAUGGCAGAGGGUGAAAAGAGAAUCGCUAUGAGAUGGACCCGCGUCUGAUUAGCCAGUUGGCAGGGUAAGAGCCUACCAAAGCGACGAUCAGUAGCCGAUCUGAGAGGAUGAACGGCCACAUUGGGACUGAGACACGGCCCAAACUCCUACGGGAGGCAGCAGUGGGGGAUAUUGCACAAUGGGGGGAAGCCUGAUGCAGCCACGCCGCGUGAAUGAAGAAGGAUUUCGGUAUGUAAAGCUCUAUCAGCAGGGAAGAUAAUGACAGUACCUGAAGAAGAAGCCCCGGCUAACUACGUG
This 478-nucleotide ribosomal RNA is filed under the name uncultured bacterium. Its description in RNAcentral is "partial 16S ribosomal RNA". It matches the Rfam family "Bacterial small subunit ribosomal RNA", at positions 28 to 507 of the family's 1533-position model. The record is from RNAcentral.